AAGAAAGGGAACUGGUGACAUCUAUUGGCUAAACAUUGUACGAGCGUUUCUCCUGGACGUAGUUCGCUGGUUGUCACCUUUCUUUGUCCGUUGGUUUGUUUGGUUGUUUUUCGACUUUUAGAGCAAACAGUUGAACAAAAUGAGGAAAAAAGGGAAAAAGCCACCCAAAGUUAACGACAAAACAGCCGCAGAGACUAUGCUUGAGGAGAAAAUUGAAUUUAUGGUAUAAUAUGACAUGGUAAGGCGAAAUAUAUAUUCAAUUCUGGUCACUAGAGUUACUGAUAAAUCUUUUAUUUAUCCAUUCUUCACGCACAUUAUUAGUGUAUGUUCGCCGUUGGUUAAUCAGAUGUAAUGCAAUUCUUAGCCAAUCAGAAGUCGCAUAUCCCUCUCAUCACCUAAGCUACAAUAUUAGUAUUUCAUGGCUCAUUUUCCCUGAAAACUUGACUUAUUAGCACUCUAGGUGAGCAUACUGCUCUUGGACAGCUGAUAUCCUUUUUCAUUAUCUUAUUGGCAGACCACUGAACAUUCCAACGCGUUCCUUUACUUAGGCAACUUAAAACAUAGGACGUUGCAAUGUAUAAGAUCGCAGUGCGCUGCAUGAGCUCUUCCGUCGUAAUAAUUCUAAAUAAUUCGAUAUAAUCGAAAACGUGGGAACAAUUCAUUCAUAGCAAAAGGUUAGAGAUGGUUUUUUUUUAUUCACAGAUGGAAAUUUCUCAGAAUAUUAGCUAAAAUUUUGGGGUGUUACGUAAGUAAAUGAAAAUUGAUGGUUAACUUCUGAGGACAGAAGUAAUAGAUUGUUCAAGAUAAUAAAAGCUUGCUGAAUGUACAGAUAUCAUUAUUUCUUUUAAUCAAUUCUGUCUUGUUAAGUAGAGACAACCUCAAUUUCACAGCUGAUGGACAUGGCGGAGCCUAGGUUUCUCUUGUAGUGUCAUGGCAGUUCGCUUUUGGGAGCUGAGUAAUUAGCGAAAAUGUUUACAUCGCCGUUGGUGGUGUGCGUAUGCUCAGCACCAAUUGCAAUAUACAGUUACAACCAUGAAUUUUUUUAAAAUACUGCUUCUCCCGCACAAGUUCUGUUGGGAUAAAGUUGUCAUAUUGCUGCCAGAUUCAACCUUUCUCGAGCCAAAAGAUUUGAUCACGGACUUAGGAACAAUGAACCAGAUACCUUCCUUACGCAGGAGGUCAUUCCCCACUGAGUCCAGAAUUUUAACGGCUCAAGAACUGCUCAUGGAGUACAGCUUAGUCGUUAUUUUACUUGGAUGUUUUAUCAUGGUUUCAUCGUCAUCAAAAAUGGUUCGCCAACUUGAAGAAACCGGAGGUGGAUUCCUUUGGUUAUAAACAGUGCUUUUGAUUGCUUCAAUUUUGGUCGAUUGUAUGAUUGGAACUUGUAAAUAAUUUGACUCACCUGAGAUCAGCGUCUAGAAGUCGUACAAUUCAGUGAGGGAACAUUUUUAUAUGCUGUAAAGAGGACAUUUUGAAGGAAUUCCACUGCGUGAGUGUCAGGUCCUGUAAAUGCGAGUGGAAAGCGAAAGAAAUAUAGAGCACAUUGACUGGGGUAAUUUGAA
This 1562-nucleotide long non-coding RNA is filed under the name Pocillopora damicornis (cauliflower coral). RNAcentral describes it as "uncharacterized LOC113673071". The record is from RNAcentral. Lineage: Eukaryota; Metazoa; Cnidaria; Anthozoa; Scleractinia; Pocilloporidae.